GUGGGGAAUAUUGGACAAUGGGCGAAAGCCUGAUCCAGCAAUGCCGCGUGCAGGAAGAAGGCCUUCGGGUUGUAAACUGCUUUUGUACGGAACGAAACGGUCCUGGUUAAUACCUGGGGCUAAUGACGGUACCGUAAGAAUAAGCACCGGCUAACUACGUGCCAGCAGCCGCGGUAAUACGUAGGGUGCAAGCGUUAAUCGGAAUUACUGGGCGUAAAGCGUGCGCAGGCGGUUUUGUAAGACAGGCGUGAAAUCCCCGGGCUCAACCUGGGAAUUGCGCUUGAGACUGCAAGGCUUGAGUGCGGCAGAGGGGGAUGGAAUUCCGCGUGUAGCAGUGAAAUGCGUAUAUAUGCGGAGGAACACCGAUGGCGACGGCAAUCCCCUGGGCCUGCACUGACGCUCAUGCACGAAAGCGUGGGGAGCAAACAGGAUUAGAAACCCGUGUAGUCC
Molecule: ribosomal RNA, 450 nt
Filed under: uncultured bacterium
Lineage: Bacteria
Description: partial 16S ribosomal RNA
Rfam family: Bacterial small subunit ribosomal RNA
Source: RNAcentral